GGUUAAGUUAAUAAGGGCGCACGGUGAAUGCCUUGGCACUAGGAGCCGAAGAA
RNAcentral lists this ribosomal RNA (53 nucleotides) under Psychrobacillus insolitus. RNAcentral's name for it is "partial 23S ribosomal RNA". Lineage: Bacteria; Bacillati; Bacillota; Bacilli; Caryophanales; Bacillaceae. The record is from RNAcentral.